AUGGAAAAUUGCAAGUCUUACUUGUGGUGGCGGGAUAUUAUCCCAAUUAGGAAUCAACCAGCAGUAGAAGAUUGGUUUAGGGGAGGUGUUUCGUGCGUUUUAGUGGAGGAUACGAAGGGUUUGGUAGGUGAUCAAUGGAGAUGGUCGUUGGUGGAGAAUCAGGGGGGCGGUAUUGGGUUCAACACUAAUACAACUAGUGGAAUUGGAAGCUAUUCUGUUGGAAGUUGUUCCGAAGUUGGAGGGAUAUUUGUGAUAGGUUACCUAAAAGGUGGCGAUUGGAAAGGAGAGGUAUCCUCACUAAUGAUAGAGAUAAGGUAA
This is a non-coding RNA of Vicia faba (fava bean), 318 nucleotides long. The record is from the annotation of a GenBank genome assembly. NCBI's taxonomy places the organism in Eukaryota, Viridiplantae, Streptophyta, Magnoliopsida, Fabales, Fabaceae.